This 468-nucleotide ribosomal RNA is filed under the name uncultured bacterium. Its description in RNAcentral is "partial 16S ribosomal RNA". It matches the Rfam family "Bacterial small subunit ribosomal RNA", at positions 28 to 507 of the family's 1533-position model. The record is from RNAcentral.
GACGAACGCUGGCGGCGUGCUUAACACAUGCAAGUCGAACGGACAGGUCCUGCUCUUGCGCGGCGCUCGAGUGGCGAACGGGGGAGUAACACGUGUGUAACCUGCCCCUGAAAUUGGGAUAACUUCAGGAAACUGCGGCUCAUAUCGGAUAGGAGCUCUUGCUGCACGGUGGUGGAUAGAAAGAUUCGGCGGUUGGGGAUGGAAUCGCGGCUUAUCCGCCUGUUGGUGGGGUAGUGGCUUACCAAGGCUUUGACGGAUAGGCGGCCUGAGAGGGGGGCCAGCGACAAGGGGACUGAGAUAGGGCGCAGUAGGCUACGGGAGGCAGCGGUGGAGAGUAUUGCACAAUAGGGGGGAGCCAGUUGCAACGGCGCCGCGUGCGGAAUGACGGCCUUCGAGGUGAGAACCGCUGUGGCAGUAGACAAGCCGUGAGUGACGGUAAUGGGUCAGGAAGCACCGGCUAACUACGUG